RNAcentral lists this ribosomal RNA (492 nucleotides) under uncultured bacterium. RNAcentral's name for it is "partial 16S ribosomal RNA". It matches the Rfam family "Bacterial small subunit ribosomal RNA", at positions 30 to 507 of the family's 1533-position model. The record is from RNAcentral.
AUUGAACGCUGGCGGCAUGCUUUACACAUGCAAGUCGAACGGUAACAGGCCUUCGGGUGCUGACGAGUGGCGCACGAGUGAGUAAUGCAUCGGAACGUGCCCAGAGGUGGGGGAUAACGCAGCGAAAGCUGUGCUAAUACCGCAUGUGAUCUGAGGAUGAAAGCGGGGGACCAAGCAGCAAUGUUUGGCCUCGCGCCUCUGGAGCGGCCGACGUCAGAUUAGGUAGUUGGUGGGGUAAAGGCCUACCAAGCCGACGAUCUGUAGCUGGUCUGAGAGGACGACCAGCCACACUGGGACUGAGACACGGCCCAGACUCCUACGGGAGGCAGCAGUGGGGAAUUUUGGACAAUGGGCGCAAGCCUGAUCCAGCAAUGCCGCGUGCGGGAAGAAGGCCUUCGGGUUGUAAACCGCUUUUGUACGGAACGAAAAGGCUCUGGCUAAUACCUGGGGCUGAUGACGGUACCGUAAGAAUAAGCACCGGCUAACUACGUG